ACGAAUCCCAUCUGGGUAACUGGGUGGGGGAAGUGGCGAAAGGGGCAGUAAGGCGUGGGCAACCUACCCCGGGGAUCGGGAUAGCCGUCCUAACGGACGGAUAAUACCGGGCGAUCUGGCGAGGAGGCAUCUUCUGGCCAGGAAAUGAAUUUCGCCUCGGGAGGGGCUCACGUAGUAUUAGCUUGUUGGCGGGGUAACGGCCCACCAAGGCCAAGAUGCUUAGCGGGUGUGAGAGCACGACCCGCGCCACUGGCACUGAGACACUGGCCAGACUCCUACGGGAGGCUGCAGUCGAGGAUCUUCGGCAAUGGGCGCAAGCCUGACCGAGCGACGCCGCGUGUGCGAUGAAGGCCUUCGGGUUGUAAAGCACUGUCGAGGGGGAGAAAAGCCCGCAAGGGUCUGAUCUAUCCCUGGAGGAAGCACGGGCUAAGUUCGUGCCAGCAGCCGCGGUAAGACGAACCGUGCGAACGUUGUUCGGAUUCACUGGGCUUAAAGGGCGCGUAGGCGGACGGUCAAGUCGGGGGUGAAAUCUUUCAGCUUAACUGGAAAACGUGCCUUCGAUACUGAUCGUCUCGAGGGAGGUAGGGGCAUGCGGAACUUCCGGUGGAGCGGUGAAAUGCGUAGAUAUCGGAAGGAACGCCCGGUGGCCAAAGCGGCGUGCUGGACCUCUUCUGACGCUUAAGGCGCGAAAAGCCAAGGGGAAGCGAACGGGAUUAGAUACCCCCGGUAGUCCUUGCCCUUAAACGAAUGGGUACUAAAUUGUGGAACUUUAACAUGGGUUUCCCAAUCGAAAGCUUAAAGUGUUAAGUAACCCCCCCCUGGGGAGUAUUGGUCCCCAAGGCUUAAACU
RNAcentral lists this ribosomal RNA (849 nucleotides) under uncultured soil bacterium. RNAcentral's name for it is "bacterial SSU rRNA". It matches the Rfam family "Bacterial small subunit ribosomal RNA", at positions 66 to 901 of the family's 1533-position model. The record is from RNAcentral.